This 1033-nucleotide ribosomal RNA is filed under the name Sumakuru bigal. RNAcentral's name for it is "eukaryotic LSU rRNA". It matches the Rfam family "Eukaryotic large subunit ribosomal RNA", at positions 100 to 866 of the family's 3401-position model. The record is from RNAcentral. Lineage: Eukaryota; Metazoa; Arthropoda; Arachnida; Araneae; Salticidae.
GGGAACAGCCCAGCGCCGAAUCCCCGACCCCCAGGUCGCGGGAAAUGUGGCGUUCAGGAGUGAGCGUGCCGGGAUCGGACUGAGCAGCAAGUCCCCCUGACCGGGGCCUAUCCAUAGCGGGUGCGAGGCCCAUAGCCGCUCGGUCCGUCUCGGAUGCGAUCUCCUUGGAGUCGGGUUGCUUGGGAGUGCAGCCCUAAUCGGGUGGUAAACUCCACCUAAGGCUAAAUACCGCCGUGAGACCGAUAGCAAACAAGUACCGUGAGGGAAAGUUGCAAAGAACUUUGAAGAGAGAGUUCAAGAGUACGUGAAACUGCUCAGAGGUAAACGGGUGGGCCCUCGAAAUCCUGUGGCGAGAGGAUUCAGUCUGGCGAGGCGGACGCGGUGGUCGGAAACGAGCAGGGCUUCCCGAGCAGGGGCCGUUCGACCGCGCGUCAUCCGUCGCGUCCCGACGCAUUUGUCUCUCGUCCGAAGGACGCUGCAGCCGGUCGGGCAGCUGCAAGCGCGACGACCUGAAGGGAGGGGGCCGGCAGGUGUCCGGUGGCGCGCCCCGUGCGCGUCGCCGGUUGUUAGCCACCCCUCCAGUGGUCCGUCGCCCGACCGAGGUGUCACUAGACCCGAGUGGUCUCUACGUCUCCUCCCCAGGAAGCGGAACAGACGAGCGCAGGGGCGGCGCGCCGUCCCGUCGCACUACCCCGGAGUGGGCGAGCGAACGGGCUACCCCGCUGGCGCACGCGGAGUCCGCGGGAGAGUUGGAGGCUCGCAGCGAAAGCGUCGGUCACCCACCCGACCCGUCUUGAAACACGGACCAAGGAGUCUAACAUGUGCGCGAGUCAAUGGGUCUUGAACAGGCCCAGGGGCGCAAUGAAAGCAAAGGUCGUCGCACGGCGACCGAGUUGGGAUCCCCCGCUCACGCGGGGGCGCACCAACGUCCCGUCCCGUCCGGCUCGCCGGUGGGGCGGAGAUCGAGCGUACACGUUGGGACCCGAAAGAUGGUGAACUAUGCCCGGACAGGACGAAGCCAGAGGAAACUCUG